Molecule: ribosomal RNA, 600 nt
Filed under: Lysinibacillus sp.
Lineage: Bacteria; Bacillati; Bacillota; Bacilli; Caryophanales; Bacillaceae
Description: bacterial SSU rRNA
Rfam family: Bacterial small subunit ribosomal RNA
Source: RNAcentral
UGCAGUCGAGCGAACAGAGAAGGAGCUUGCUCCUUUGACGUUAGCGGCGGACGGGUGAGUAACACGUGGGCAACCUACCCUAUAGUUUGGGAUAACUCCGGGAAACCGGGGCUAAUACCGAAUAAUCUAUGUCACCUCAUGGUGACAUACUGAAAGACGGUUUCGGCUGUCGCUAUAGGAUGGGCCCGCGGCGCAUUAGCUAGUUGGUGAGGUAAUGGCUCACCAAGGCGACGAUGCGUAGCCGACCUGAGAGGGUGAUCGGCCACACUGGGACUGAGACACGGCCCAGACUCCUACGGGAGGCAGCAGUAGGGAAUCUUCCACAAUGGGCGAAAGCCUGAUGGAGCAACGCCGCGUGAGUGAAGAAGGUUUUCGGAUCGUAAAACUCUGUUGUAAGGGAAGAACAAGUACAGUAGUAACUGGCUGUACCUUGACGGUACCUUAUUAGAAAGCCACGGCUAACUACGUGCCAGCAGCCGCGGUAAUACGUAGGUGGCAAGCGUUGUCCGGAAUUAUUGGGCGUAAAGCGCGCGCAGGCGGUCCUUUAAGUCUGAUGUGAAAGCCCACGGCUCAACCGUGGAGGGUCAUUGGAAACUGGGG